Molecule: ribosomal RNA, 464 nt
Filed under: uncultured bacterium
Lineage: Bacteria
Description: partial 16S ribosomal RNA
Rfam family: Bacterial small subunit ribosomal RNA
Source: RNAcentral
ACGAACGCUGGCGGCGUGCUUAACACAUGCAAGUCGUACGGUAAGGCCCUUUCGGGGGUACACGAGUGGCGACCGGGUGAGUAACACGUGAGUAACCUGCCCACAACUUUGGGAUAACGCUAGGAAACUGGUGCUAAUACUGGAUAUGUGCUCCUGCUGCAUGGUGGGGGUUGGAAAGCUCCGGCGGUUGUGGAUGGACUCGCGGCCUAUCAGCUUGUUGGUGGGGUAGUGGCCUACCAAGGCGGCGACGGGUAGCCGGCCUGAGAGGGUGACCGGCCACAUUGGGACUGAGAUACGGCCCAGACUCCUACGGGAGGCAGCAGUGGGGAAUAUUGCACAAUGGGCGCAAGCCUGAUGCAGCAACGCCGCGUGCGGGAUAACGGCCUUCGGGUUGGAAACCGCUUUCAGCAGGGACGAAGCUUUUUGUGACGGUACCUGCAGAAGAAGCACCGGCUAACUACGUG